This is a long non-coding RNA of Sapajus apella (tufted capuchin), 184 nucleotides long. RefSeq lists it as uncharacterized. NCBI's taxonomy places the organism in Eukaryota, Metazoa, Chordata, Mammalia, Primates, Cebidae. The record is from RefSeq and is a predicted model, not a curated record. The transcript has 3 exons.
AAGAACUUAUUUAUUUCUACCUUAAUUUCGUUGUUUACUCAGUAGUCAUUCAGGAGCAGGUGGUUCAAUUUCCACGUAGUUGUGCAGUUUUUAGUGAGUGUCUUAAUCUUGAGUUCUAAUUUGAUUGCACUGUGUUCUGAGAGACUGUUAUGAUUUUUAUUCUUUUGCAUUUGCUGAGGAUGAU